AGGGGAGUAUCGAAAUAAAAGGAGCUGCUAACUACCUUUUAAAGCGGUUAAACUCCGUUUCUCCCUUA
This 68-nucleotide transfer RNA is filed under the name Neuroctenus yunnanensis. Its description in RNAcentral is "tRNA-Ser". RNAcentral also lists the same sequence under 1 other name. The record is from RNAcentral. Lineage: Eukaryota; Metazoa; Arthropoda; Insecta; Hemiptera; Aradidae.